GAGCAGGUACGAAAGUAGGUUCUAGUGAUCCGGGGUUCUGUAUGGAAGGGCCAUCGCUCAACGGAUAAAAGGUACUCCGGGGAUAACAGGCUGAUACCGCCCAAGAGUUCACAUCGACGGCGGUGUUUGGCACCUCGAUGUCGGCUCAUCACAUCCUGGGGCUGAAGCCGGUCCCAAGGGUAUGGCUGUUCGCCAUUUAAAGUGGUACGCGAGCUGGGUUUAGAACGUCGUGAGACAGUUCGGUCCCUAUCUGCCGUGGGCGUUUGAGAUUUGAGAAGAGUUGCUCCUAGUACGAGAGGACCGGAGUGAACGAACCUCUGGUGUACCGGUUGUGAUGCCAAUUGCAUUGCCGGGUAGCUACGUUCGGACGGGAUAACCGCUGAAAGCAUCUAAGCGGGAAGCCUCCUUCAAGAUGAGAUCUCACUGGGAACUUGAUUCCCCUAAAGGGCCGUUUAAGACUAAGACGUUGAUAGGCUGGGUGUGGAAGCGUUGUGAGGCGUUGAGCUAACCAGUACUAAUUGCCCG
Molecule: non-coding RNA, 525 nt
Filed under: Neptuniibacter caesariensis
Lineage: Bacteria; Pseudomonadati; Pseudomonadota; Gammaproteobacteria; Oceanospirillales; Oceanospirillaceae
Description: Eukaryotic large subunit ribosomal RNA
Rfam family: Bacterial large subunit ribosomal RNA
Source: Rfam by way of RNAcentral